RNAcentral lists this ribosomal RNA (229 nucleotides) under uncultured bacterium. RNAcentral describes it as "partial 16S ribosomal RNA". It matches the Rfam family "Bacterial small subunit ribosomal RNA", at positions 568 to 796 of the family's 1533-position model. The record is from RNAcentral.
UGCGCAGGUGGGCUUGUAAGUCAGUGGUGAAAUACUGCCGCUUAACGGUAGAACUGCCAUUGAUACUGCGAGUCUUGAGUAUGGUUGAGGUAGGCGGAAUGUGUUGUGUAGCGGUGAAAUGCAUAGAUAUGACACAGAACGCCGAUUGCGAAGGCAGCUUACUAAGCCAUUACUGACGCUGAGGCACGAAAGCGUGGGGAGUGAACAGGAUUAGAUACCCUGGUAGUCC